CCUACGGGUGGCAGCAGUGGGGAAUAUUGGGCAAUGGAGGCAACUCUUACCCAGCAAUGCCGCGUGAAUGAAGAAGGUCUUCGGAUUGUAAAGUUCUUUUCUCAGGGACGAAGCAAGUGACGGUACCUGAGGAAUAAGCCACGGCUAACUACGUGCCAGCAGCCGCGGUAAUACGUAGGUGGCAAGCGUUAUCCGGAUUUACUGGGUGUAAAGGGCGUGUAGGCGGGACUGCAAGUCAGAUGUGAAAACCACGGGCUCAACCUGUGGCCUGCAUUUGAAACUGUAGUUCUUGAGUACUGGAGAGGCAGACGGAAUUCCUAGUGUAGCGGUGAAAUGCGUAGAUAUUAGGAGGAACACCAGUGGCGAAGGCGGUCUGCUGGACAGCAACUGACGCUGAGGCGCGAAAGCGUGGGGAGCAAACAGGAUUAGAUACCCGAGUAGUC
This 443-nucleotide ribosomal RNA is filed under the name uncultured bacterium. RNAcentral describes it as "partial 16S ribosomal RNA". It matches the Rfam family "Bacterial small subunit ribosomal RNA", at positions 338 to 795 of the family's 1533-position model. The record is from RNAcentral.